This is a non-coding RNA of Pangasius djambal, 72 nucleotides long. The record is from the annotation of a GenBank genome assembly. NCBI's taxonomy places the organism in Eukaryota, Metazoa, Chordata, Actinopteri, Siluriformes, Pangasiidae.
GCAGUCGUGGCCUAAUGGUUAGAGAGUCGGACUUGUAACUCAAAGGUCGUGGGUUCGAGUCUCAGGUCUGGA